CUAACAGCCAAGAUCAGAAGACAAGUUGAGGAGUCUGAAGACCAAUUCCUAGAAGAGGAUUGCUUCAGGGAUUUGCUCUGAAGCUGCAAGAUUCUUCAAUACAAGCCCAACUAUAAUAAAACAUGUUAAUUGUCUGAAUGGAGAAGAAUGUUUAGUUGGAGUAGAACAAGGUUGACUGGCCUCCUACAUUGGGCUUUAAACUAUGACAGGGAACAGGAAGGCAGAAGAUAGAGAGAGUCUAGAACCGACAAACUGCGAGACCUGCAGAAGUACACCCCAGCGUUAUCCUAAGAGGAGAGAGACCACAUAAAGACUUUUCAGUAACCUUCUUCAAGGAAUGACCCAUGAGGAGUGCAUCUUUAAUAAUGCCUUGAAGACAAAACAAACAGUUCAUGGCCUAGCUUCUUCUAGUUAGAGCCAGGAAUGGUAAAGGCUCUAAAAAAGCUAACUUUCUGACUGUAACUCUAACCCUAAACUUUUUAGUAUCUUUGUAUCAACCCUUGAUUUCACUCACAAUCAAAUGAUCAAAUUGCUUUGGCAUGGGAAGACAAGCACAUUUAAAAAAUUGCAUACAGAAGCAUAACAAAUAAUAAAUUAAUAUUUUCACCAGCCAUAUAGACAUGUGCAGUUAUCCAGUCAGAACAAAAAAAUAUCAGGUGCGCUAGCUGACCAAUCAAACCUAAAUCAAAGCUAAACUAUAUAGACUGGGUAACAAAUUAACACUUGAAGACAAAUGUUCACAGUCAAACCAUAGAAUUACAAAUUGAAAAAGUAGAAUGAAUUUAAAAAAUCAUACUCAUGGAUAUUCAGCAAGAGAGAAGAAAUGUUUCUCAAAUUAUUUGUUAUGAAUUAUUUACUCUGCUCAAACAAUUAUCAUGCUAUGUCAAUGGCCUUUUUAUUUUAGCCCCUAGAACAUUAAAAAAAAUCUGUGAAAGCUAGUUGAGAGCUUUGCAAGCAUUUCUGAAUGCAGAAUAAGCUGAGGUAAGUUGGAGUUUAUGUCCCUGAACAUAUUGUACAAUCAGUGGGGAAGACAAGGUUUAAAUAUAGAUUGAAAACCACAGGGUAUUAAGUAUCUAGGAGUAUUUUACCGUAUGGAAUUGAAGCCUACAACUAAACGUAACAAAGAGGUAAUGUGAAAUACAGUGAAAAUUUUAAUUCCAGGGUGGUCCCUGCCACGCACUGUAUUAUGUGGUGGAGAAGACAGCAAUUAGAAAGGCAUUGGGAGCAAACCUGACAUGCUAUAGAUAUUAAGUAUGUUACUAUUUACCUUCUGAGAGAAAAAUAUAGAGUUUGUGGGUUUGUUAACAAAAUCUUAAGGCAUGAUCGGAAGCCCAGAACCUGAGAUGAAAAUACAAGUGGUAGCCAAAACUUUAGGUGGAGCAAAUUUUCCAGAGCUACAAAAAUAUUGGUUCUUUUUUGAAGCCAAGGAAUGGAUACCAUAAAAGUGGAUCUCAGCUCAAUUGGAUUGAAAAAGCACAAACUUUAUUCUUCCAUUUGUUCUCAUUAAUAAAGGUGAACUGAAAAGUGGUUUUGGAUCUAAAUCCAGCAAUGAAAACAAGUUCUGUGGAUUUUGAACUGCAAAGAAGAUGGAAGGGAAAAUAUGAAAUUAAAAGAAAGUAAGCCAGUUUGAACAAACCUGGAAUAAGAGUUUGUUUGCUGCUUUGUUUUGGUUGGGUUUUUUUGGUGGGUUUUUGUGGUUAAGAUGAGAGAGUGUUUUAGUAUUUCAAAAUGUGCCAGAUGCCAUGUAUGGAAUUCUGCUUCUCUCGCACCUAUUUGCAAAAAAUAUUGAGGCUCACACCAAGACUGCAGAUGCAUAUAAUUGAAGGACUUCCUUCAAAAUAGUGACAUAAACAUUGAGAGAAUUUAUUCUGAUCUGUAACUAAGAGUCAGAUCCAAAGCCAAUGGAAGUCAAGCAGUCUUUCUACUAAAUUCCAUAACCUUUCAGUCAAAUCCAAACAUUUUAUCUUAUCUUCAUCCUCACAUUUCCCCAUCCUCAAUUAAAUUAUGUUUUAUGUGUAAAGACUGCUAACAGGGACAAAUGGAUUUGAUGAAUCUUGAGAGAGAGUUUAUAAACUGAAUAUAAAACCAGAUAUUUUGGAGGACACGGUGGUUUUCACAAUCUGUCUGCUGCUUUCUUCCUUUCUCUUUCUUGAUUAAUAAGAUUCUCUGAACUCCAUUUAGAAGUAGCUUGAGUGAUCUAGACAGCUGCUGGCCUUUUAACUCUUCAAAGGGUACCACUUGGCAUGUACUGACUUAAAUAUUCUGUGGUUCUACAGUUCUGGAUGAGAGUUGGUGACUUCAUUCACCUGUACUGGAAUAUACAAUUACACCUCAAAUACUUGCACUUAACAGCAGUUUUGGACUAAACAGCUAAAUGAAAAAUGAGCAAAAUCUAGUGGAUAAGUUAAUAGCAAUCAGUCUUAAGAUAAUAUUUUGGAGGAACAGGUCCUGACCACCUGGGGUUAUUAAACAUCCCAUGCCAUUUUUCAUUACUUCAUUCACAAUGUCCCUCCUAAAACUCACUUAAUAUAAUUGAAUACUGCUGCAUAAAUUCCCCCUGAAGUAUCAAUUGACUAUAGUAUUCACCCUGCCAUAAACCGUUGUAGUAUUGCUGUUAAAAAACUAUCUCCUUCCAGCCCAGAAAUGGAUGCACAUUAGUGAAAUAUGAAGUGGUUUCACUACAUAGUUAAAAAAAAGGUUUUUUGGAUACUGUGAUGUUUAGCAUUCUGUAAAAAUAUUUGAGGUUUUUGAUGAUGGGUUUUUUUCAGAGCUUCAGUAAGACUACUCAUUUGCAUUAAUAAAUAUAAGAAUAAUAAUAAUUAAAACUAUACACAUACAUUUAUACCUAUAAUAGCUAUUCCUCAGAGCUUUGAGCAAAUACUGGAACCUGAGGUGAAACCAUUAUAGCUUGCAUUUGCAUGAACACCUAGCAGGUGAAAUUUUUUCUUGUCUUUCAUCAGUAAAAUGUUGGCAUUCCCAUGUUAAAAUCUCUUUCUCUUUCACAAGCAGUGGAAAAACUGAGAGCAAAAAUUUGUACCCAUAGGCACAAAAAACUGUUUAUUUAUUUAUAAAUUUUUUCUUAGGUAAGUGGUUGGGUGGCAUGCUAUCCUUUUGCUAAAAGCAAAUAAAUGUCUCAACAUUGUAUUUAGAAGUAUUGUUCUUUUUUAUGUUCUAUCUUCUGAAAGACAUGAAACCAAAUUUCUGAGUAUCUGCAGUUGUUCAAAAUCCCAUAAUACCUUUCCAAAAGGAAAGUUAAUCCUAGUGUUUUAGCCCAUUUCCAGGUUGGAUAAUGACAUUUUGCCCACCUGAAUCCCUAUUAUUGUUUCAUCUGGGCACAGUAGAUUUUUAAUUUUUUGUUUUAGGGAUUGAUAUGGUAGCCAAAUUGGCUGUGCAAAGCUUUGGUCCCUGAUUCGAUUCGGUGGAGAUUUGACCCAAUUUGGUGGCUGAAUCUUUGAAUCCGAAUCAAAUUAGAGGAACCUUUAAGCUCUCCAAAUCGAAUUGGGACCCUCCAAUUUGGACAUAAAGACAGCUUUAAAUGUU
Molecule: long non-coding RNA, 3540 nt
Organism: Alligator mississippiensis (American alligator)
Lineage: Eukaryota; Metazoa; Chordata; Crocodylia; Alligatoridae
Exons: 4
Source: RefSeq, a predicted model, not a curated record